RNAcentral lists this ribosomal RNA (1018 nucleotides) under Mastodia sp. RNAcentral describes it as "SSU rRNA". It matches the Rfam family "Eukaryotic small subunit ribosomal RNA", at positions 104 to 1133 of the family's 1831-position model. Lineage: Eukaryota; Fungi; Ascomycota; Eurotiomycetes; Verrucariales; Verrucariaceae. The record is from RNAcentral.
AAUCAGUUAUAGUUUAUUUGAUAGUACCUUCUACCUGGAUAACCGUGGUAAUUCUAGAGCUAAUACAUGCUAAAAACCUCGACUCACGAAGAGGUGUAUUUAUUAGAUAAAAAACCAAUGCCCUCCGGGGCUCAGUGGUGAUUCAUGAUAACUUAACGAAUCGCAUGGCCUUGCGCCGGCGAUGGUUCAUUCAAAUUUCUGCCCUAUCAACUUUCGAUGGUAGGAUAGUGGCCUACCAUGGUUUCAACGGGUAACGGGGAAUUAGGGUUCGAUUCCGGAGAGGGAGCCUGAGAAACGGCUACCACAUCCAAGGAAGGCAGCAGGCGCGCAAAUUACCCAAUUCUGAUACAGAGAGGUAGUGACGAUAAAUACCGAUACAGGGCUCUUUCGGGUCUUGUAAUUGGAAUGAGUACAAUCUAAACCCCUUAACGAGGAACAAUUGGAGGGCAAGUCUGGUGCCAGCAGCCGCGGUAAUUCCAGCUCCAAUAGCGUAUAUUAAAGUUGUUGCAGUUAAAAAGCUCGUAGUUGAACCUUGGGCCUGGCCGAUCUGUCUUCCUAACCGUUGUACGGAUUCGGUCGGGCCUUUCCUUCUGGGGAGCCCCAUGUCCUUCACUGGGCGUGGUGGGGAACCAGGACUUUUACCUUGAAAAAAUUAGAGUGUUCAAAGCAGGCCUUUGCUCGAAUACAUUAGCAUGGAAUAAUGGAAUAGGACAGCAGUUCUAUUUUGUUGGUUUCUAGGACCGCUGUAAUGAUUAAUAGGGAUAGUCGGGGGCGUCAGUAUUCAAUUGUCAGAGGUGAAAUUCUUGGAUUUAUUGAAGACUAACUAUUGCGAAAGCAUUCGCCAAGGAUGUUUUCAUUAAUCAGUGAACGAAAGUUAGGGGAUCGAAGACGAUCAGAUACCGUCGUAGUCUUAACCAUAAACUAUGCCGACUAGGGAUUGGACGGUGUUUCUUUUAUGACCCGUUCAGCACCUUACGAGAAAUCAAAGUUUUUGGGCUCUGGGGGGAGUAUGGUCGCA